Molecule: long non-coding RNA, 344 nt
Filed under: Elaeis guineensis (African oil palm)
Lineage: Eukaryota; Viridiplantae; Streptophyta; Magnoliopsida; Arecales; Arecaceae
Description: long non-coding RNA (EGUI_LNC034840)
Source: RNAcentral
CCUUGAAUCUUUCUUCUCGUCGAAGAUCCUUCUUCUCCAAGUAGGAUCUCACCCCUUUAGAACCUUGAUCAACUCUUUGAUCUAAACUGUGGAAUCAAUUCUUUGAUCUGCAGCCUUUUCUCUUCAUUCCUCACUAUAGAUGAACAACUCCUUAACUCUUGGCGUGUGAAAAGGUGGGACACCCGACCUUUGGGCAUAGAAAAGAGAAGAAGGAGAAGGGGAGGCAUGGAGAAGGAGAGAGGGUGUUUUGGUUUCACAAAAUUCUACUAACUUCAAACCCUAAGAGACCUUCUCUUUAAAUAGACUCUACCUUGAUUCAAAACAGGAAUCUAAUUAACUUAAAA